This 358-nucleotide ribosomal RNA is filed under the name Vibrio sinaloensis. RNAcentral's name for it is "bacterial SSU rRNA". It matches the Rfam family "Bacterial small subunit ribosomal RNA", at positions 31 to 380 of the family's 1533-position model. Lineage: Bacteria; Pseudomonadati; Pseudomonadota; Gammaproteobacteria; Vibrionales; Vibrionaceae. The record is from RNAcentral.
AGAAAGCUGGCGGCAGGCCUAAACAUGCAGUCGCGCGGAAACGAGUUAUCUGAACCUUCGGGGAACGAUAACGGCGUCGAGCGGCGGACGGGUGAGUAAUGCCUGGGAAAUUGCCCUGAUGUGGGGGAUAACCAUUGGAAACGAUGGCUAAUACCGCAUAAUAGCUUCGGCUCAAAGAGGGGGACCUUCGGGCCUCUCGCGUCAGGAUAUGCCCAGGUGGGAUUAGCUAGUUGGUGAGGUAAGGGCUCACCAAGGCGACGAUCCCUAGCUGGUCUGAGAGGAUGAUCAGCCACACUGGAACUGAGACACGGCCAGACUCCUACGGGAGGAGCAGGGGGAAUAUUGACAAUGGGUCAAG